This 865-nucleotide ribosomal RNA is filed under the name uncultured soil bacterium. RNAcentral describes it as "bacterial SSU rRNA". It matches the Rfam family "Bacterial small subunit ribosomal RNA", at positions 62 to 928 of the family's 1533-position model. The record is from RNAcentral.
UCGAGUGCGCGUACCGUAGCAAUACGGUAUGGCGCACGGCGCACGGGUGCGUAACACGUGGGCAAUCUGCCCUUCGAUGGGGAAUAUCUUCGGGAAACCGAAGCGAAUUCCGCAUAACAUUCCUUGGACUUCGGUUCGAGGACUCAAAGCCGUAAGGCGUCGAAGGAGGAGCCCGCGCCCGAUUAGCUAGUUGGUGAGGUAACGGCUCACCAAGGCAAUGAUCGGUAGCUGGUCUGAGAGGAUGGCCAGCCACACUGGAACUGAGACACGGUCCAGACUCCUACGGGAGGCAGCAGUGGGGAAUCUUGCGCAAUGGGCGAAAGCCUGACGCAGCGACGCCGCGUGGGGGAUGAAGCAUCUCGGUGUGUAAACCCCUUUCGACUGGGACGAAUGCCUCGCAAGAGGAGUGACGGUACCAGUAGAAGAAGCCCCGGCUAACUACGUGCCAGCAGCCGCGGUAAGACGUAGGGGGCCAGCGUUGUUCGGAAUUACUGGGUGUAAAGGGUUCGUAGGCGGUGUGGCAAGUCGGGAGUGAAAUUUCUGGGCUUAACCCAGAAGCUGCUUCCGAAACUGCUGUGCUUGAGUGUGGGAGAGGCGCGUGGAAUUGCAGGUGUAGCGGUGAAAUGCGUAGAUAUCUGCAGGAACACCCGUGGCGAAAGCGGCGCGCUGGACCACUACUGACGCUGAGGAACGAAAGCUAGGGGAGCAAACAGGAUUAGAUACCCUGGUAGUCCUAGCCCUAAACGAUCAGGACUUGGGGUGCCACCCGUUCGGGUGUCGUCCCGGAGCUAACGCGUUAAGUCCUGCACCUGGGGAGUACGGUCGCAAGACUGAAACUCAAAGGAAUUGACGGGGGCCCGCACAA